UGUUUACCAAAAACAUAGCCCUUAAAUUAAAUUAAAGGUGAUACCUGCCCAGUGAUAAAAAGAGUAAAUUUUAAAAUAGUUUAACAUUUAUUAAAUGGAUGCGGUAACUCUGACCGUAAUAAAGUAGCAUAAUUAAUUACCACUUAAUUGGUGGAGAGUAUGAAUGGUGGUACGAAUUUCUCAUUGUCUUAAUUAAAAAUUUUUAAAAUUGAAUUAAUAGUGAAGAUGCUAUUUAUAACCGUAAGACGAAAAGACCCUAUAGAGCUUUACUAUAAAUUUUAAAGGUAAUAGAAUAAAUUUAUUUUGGUAAUUUAAAAUUUGGUAGUUUAGUUGGGGCGACUGUCUUUUAUAAUUAACAAAGAUAAGUAAAAUUAAUAAUAUAAUUUAUUGUAUAAUUUAUUGAUUUAACAAUUAUUAAAGUAGGCUAUAAUGACCCGUUAAUAUGGUUAAAUAUAAUUAACGAUUAAUUAAUAAAAGCUACCUUAGGGAUAACAGGAUAAUUUUGUUUUAGAGUUCUUAUCAAUUACAAAGUUUGUCACCUCUAUGUUGAAUUAAGAUAUCCUAAUAAUGCAGAAGUUAUUAAAGGUAGGUCUGUUCGACCUUUAAAAUCUUACAUGAUUUGAGUUCAUUCCGUA
This 635-nucleotide ribosomal RNA is filed under the name Euphysa aurata. Its description in RNAcentral is "partial 16S ribosomal RNA". It matches the Rfam family "Bacterial large subunit ribosomal RNA", at positions 1801 to 2620 of the family's 2925-position model. The record is from RNAcentral. Lineage: Eukaryota; Metazoa; Cnidaria; Hydrozoa; Anthoathecata; Corymorphidae.